Molecule: long non-coding RNA, 440 nt
Filed under: Brassica napus (rape)
Lineage: Eukaryota; Viridiplantae; Streptophyta; Magnoliopsida; Brassicales; Brassicaceae
Description: long non-coding RNA (BNAP_LNC022419)
Source: RNAcentral
UAUAAUAUUUUUGAAAAAUUAAUUAAACAUCUUCUAUACUUUAUGAUAGUACAUAAAACUGAAUAAAUUAUUUGAUUUUGUCAUAUAAAGUAAAUUUGUUAAUUUUUGAAUUACGCAUCAAGAAGAAGGUUCGUUUCUUAUGAGUUAUUUCUUUCAUAUAUAUAUUACAUUAAUUAAAUAAAUGUUGUUUAGUCUUGUCCGAUCUGUUUGGUCAGGUUUCAGAGUUCGAAUGUUUUUUUGGUAAAUUUGGGUUAGGCAUUCUUUUGUUAUGUUAUGACCGGUUUAAGUUCUAUAACCGAAGGUGUAUAUGAUUGUUGGCUAACCAGUUUUAGUAAUAUACUAUAUUUCUAUGAAAAAAAAGAAGAUUUUCUCAAAGUUGAUUAGUAAUAAGGUUAACAUAUUUAUUUUGCUUAUUCUGGUUCAUACGUGUAUCUAGCGGG